Molecule: long non-coding RNA, 664 nt
Organism: Cyprinus carpio (common carp)
Lineage: Eukaryota; Metazoa; Chordata; Actinopteri; Cypriniformes; Cyprinidae
Source: Ensembl
CGGGGAACGUAAAAUAUACAGCUUUAUUUAUUGAAAACCUUUAAUAAAGAGCAGUAUGUGACUACGGAUUACUUUAUUCCCCACAUGGAUGGUUUUGAACUGGUUCCUUGCAAUGAAAUGAACUGUUCAAAAGAACCGACUCGCGAAAAGGAUUCAAACUUUCCUUCACUAGAACGUGCAGCUGUGAUAGCGGUCGGAAGAAACAGCACCUACUGUGAACUGUUCCUAGAGUGAGUUAACUAAUACAGUUCUGAAAGUAUUUAUCUAAUAAAUCAAAGAGCAGCUGCCAAAGUAUCUCAUGGGAGAAGUUCAACUCUGUACCACAAACUGCGCCUUGAAGGAACUUGAAACUUGCAAAAGACCUCUAUGGAGCAAAACUCAUCUUACAGAGAUUUCAGAUCAGGAAAUGCAAACACAUGAAAGAUCAAUUACCUGCAUCAGCGUGUUAUGUGCGUUCUCUCUCUCUCUCUCUCUCUCUCUCUCUCUCUCUCUCUCUCUAAAUGUUAAUAAUUUUAUAUUUAAGUUAAAUACUGUUGGAAAUGUUCACAUAUGAUUACUAAUAGAUUAUUAAUAUAAAUUUAUUGUUACAAAGUAAUAAUGAUUUAAUGAUAUUAUUUUAUAAUAAUGAAAUAAAAUUUAAAAGUCAGAAUUUGAGAAAUCGGUU